Lactuca sativa (garden lettuce) is the source of this 1011-nucleotide non-coding RNA. The record is from RefSeq and is a predicted model, not a curated record. NCBI's taxonomy places the organism in Eukaryota, Viridiplantae, Streptophyta, Magnoliopsida, Asterales, Asteraceae.
GGUAAGCCCAUUGUUAUUGGAUACGUUGAAAGGGUAAUAUGAAAAUUCUAGUCAACGAAUAACAUAAACAAAAUCCCCUAAUCUAAUAAAUAAGUACAUUUUUGCCCGUGACAAUCUCUAAGCCUCCCCCAAUCAAAUUUUCCCGCUCAAAUAUCUAAGUUAAUUUCCGAAAAUACCCUUUUACUUAGACUCUCGGUGCAUAAAAUCCAAUAAGAGUUUAUAGCUCCAUCUUCGGUCUCCCAUUGAAUUAGCAAUUAAAUUGCAAUAAAUCAGGAAACAACAUCAUCUCCAAAUUUGAAUUGUUCUGUUUAAUUCAACAUCUUAUAAAGUCAUUUCCUCCCAUGUGCAAAUUUGUCUUCGAUUUAUGGUUUUCCAAAACUGAAUAUGAUCUGCUCUCAAAAUCCCCAUGUGCUUCUCCUUUGCUUCUCUUCCAUGAGACUUUUUAUUUUUGGGUUUUUGAUUUCAUGUUAAAUUUUGGAUUCUAGGUGUCGUCGCUGCUCUGCCAACAGGAAUGCUCGAAUCUAACGAAGAAGGGGUUAUAUGGAACAAAAAACAUGGAUUCCUUACAUUUGUUUCUCUUAACGAAGAAGUUAACACCUACAUGUUAUGGGUUUAAACGAAAGCAGGUUUCAAGUGUUGGAUAUGCUAAAUAAAAAAUGGAUGUAGAAAUACUUGUGGUUAUACAAAAUCCAGGGGUGUAUGUGCCAAUAAAGGUUGUGAGGUAAUUAAAAGAUUGAAAAUUGCUUUGAGGAUGUGAGGAAGAUUAUGGGCUGAAUCUGGAUCACAAAUGAUUUAUUGCAAAAUCUAUUAUAUGCUUCAAACAUGUGCAAUUUGGAACCUGGUGAAUUCACAAAAUGAGUCUAGGCAAAAUUUCUGCAUUUGAAGAUUGCAAUAUGUAAGGUGAAUUCGGCGGAAGCGGAUCAGAUUUGUAUUUGCAACAGGUCGGAUCUGGGCGAGGGUUUUUCAAUUGGUUAUUUGUCAGUAAAUUUUAUAUAAUAAUUGUUUAUAUAU